UACAUAGGGUGCAAGCGUUGUCCGGAAUUAUUGGGCGUAAAGAGCUCGUAGGUUGUUUGUCGCGUCGAUUGUGAAAAUCUGAGGCUCAACCUCAGACCUGCAGUCGAUACGGGCAGACUAGAGUGUGGUAGGGGAGACUGGAAUUCCUGGUGUAGCGGUGGAAUGCGCAGAUAUCAGGAGGAACACCAAUGGCGAAGGCAGGUCUCUGGGCCAUAACUGACACUGAGGAGCGAAAGUGCGGGGAGCGAACAGGAUUAGAUACCCUGGUAGUCCGCACCGUAAACGGUGGGCACUAGUUGUGGGAACCUUCCACGGUUUCCGCGACGCAGCAAACGCAUUAAGUGCCCCGCCUGGGGAGUACGAUCGCAAGAUUAAA
RNAcentral lists this ribosomal RNA (376 nucleotides) under uncultured bacterium. RNAcentral describes it as "bacterial SSU rRNA". It matches the Rfam family "Bacterial small subunit ribosomal RNA", at positions 524 to 898 of the family's 1533-position model. The record is from RNAcentral.